GAGUUAAUCUAGAGAAUAAAGGAAGGUAAGUCUGCUGAUUCUACCCUAGUGGCCCUCAAGAAAGAUGCAGAACAGGGAGUUUAACUCAGAAUUCUGAGUCUUUACCGAUGGUUGCUCAGAUUACAAGACAGAGUGUGUGUUCCAAGUGACAAUGAGUUAAAAAUGGACAUCAUUACAAAGGCCCAUAGCUCAAAGUUUGUCAUGCAUCCCGAAAGUACUAAGAUGUAUCAAAGUAUGCGACCCCGAUUUUGGUGGAACGAGAUGAAAAAAUAUAGCUAACUUUGUUUCUAAGUGUUUGGUAUGUCAGCAGGUCAAGGCAGAGUAUCAACGCUCAAGUGGGCUACUUCAGA
RNAcentral lists this long non-coding RNA (350 nucleotides) under Carica papaya (papaya). RNAcentral's name for it is "long non-coding RNA (CPAP_LNC002956)". Lineage: Eukaryota; Viridiplantae; Streptophyta; Magnoliopsida; Brassicales; Caricaceae. The record is from RNAcentral.